UCAGUCGCCGAUUCGCCCCGGUGGAUGAAUGUUCAGCCACAAUCUGCAUUGAAACGAAGUUCUUCAACAUAUCGUUGAUUUGCGCCCAUGCCCCAACGGAAGAGAAGGACGAUAUGACCAGAGAUGCCUUUUAUGAGCGCUUGGAGCUCACCUAUGAGUGAUGACUUUAAAGCCAGGGUUCACAAGGAAGGUAUCUUUGGCACAAAAGUCGGUAAAUUCAGCCUCCACGAGGAAAUAUUUCCAAAUGGAUUGAGGCUGAUUGACUUCACCGAGCUCCUAACAUCGACUCGGACCACUAUCCUGCUGCAGCCAGGAUUCGCACCCGUCUCUGUGCAGCAAAAACGCGCGACAACGUCAAAACAAGGAGGUUCGACGUCGAGAAGUUGCAAUCACAACAUACAUUCGAGCGAUUUUCUACUUCGACUUGCACUCCUGAUCUCUGAGAGCACACAUCAACAACUUUAAGGGAACUGUGCCCGACAGAGGUAGUGCUCAAAAAUUCAAAAUGAGGGAACACUCCUUCAGACUACUGAAUGACGGCAUAACAUCAGGAGAUGGCGGAUCCGAUUCCCCAAACGAUAACGAUGGAGCAGACGUUCCUUCGCCCGACCAUGAAGAAGUUCGAAUAUUCAAACACGUUAGGGAAGAACUGAGAAGGAGCACGCAAGAGCUUCUUUGUAGAAUAUAGACGGACGACAGCAUUGCCGACGAUUGGAAUUUAAGUGUGCUAUGCCCAAUCCACAAAAAGGGAGACCUUACAAUCUGCGCCAAGUACCGUGGGAUAAACCUCUUCAACACCGCAUAUAUCGUUCUAUUUAGCGUAUUUUGUGAAAGGUUUAAGCCCACCGUAAACAAACUGAUUGUACCUUAUCAGUGUAGCUUCGACCUGGAAAAUCAAGAACUGACCAGAUAUUCACCAAGCGCCAAAUCUUGGAAAAGACUCGGAGAGAGUCUUGGAGAGACUCGACACUAAUCAUAUCUUUAAAACUUUAUAAUACCGUUCCAGGAUUUCUAGAAUAAAAUGGAUAUGGUCGGAUAGAGGAAACUUAUGGUUUUCGAGAUAUUGCCGCUUAAAGUUAAAAAUUACCACUAUUUCAAGAUGGAAGCCUGGAGUCGAAUCGUUACAUCCGUGCACGGAUCGGCAAACAUACGAAAGAAAAUUACGUGAUACGUCAAUCGUAURCGAUGAUUGGCAUUAUGACAUACGAUAGCAAACCUAUCGUAAUGUCUUUUCAAUUCACAAUAGUUUUUAAACUCCACAUUGCUUUGGAUCGUAUUUUUAGGUCACAAUAGCUGUGGAACUGUCAAAACUGUUGCAAAAUAUUCAAUCAAUUUGUUAGUUUAAAUAUCAAAUGGUUGAAUAUSAAGAUGGAUCUGACUUUGUUUUUUUAUUUGAGCUCUAGUGAGUGUGAUGGGGAUGAAAAAAUAGUGCGGAGGCAACUAAGAGAUCGGAGCAAUCCAUUGGCACUGCCGAAUACAGCAUUUUUAAAACGAUUUCGUCUAACUAAAGAGGCUUUUGAAUAUGUCCUAAAUAAUAUAUGUCUGACGUCAGAGCAGUGCCUCCAGUGCUACAAUUAGCAACCACGCUCUCACAUUUGGCUAGCGGUGGAUAUCAGCACAGUGUAGGCAGUGAAUAUUUGAUUGGGAUUUGUCAAAGCACUGUUUCGAAGCUGACAUCCCAUGUGCUUAAAGAAAUGGAAGCGAAGUUGUGCCCGCAGUUUAUACGGUUUACACCAGAGGAUUCCCUUACGUGUAAAGAGUGGUUUGUGCACCAACAUAAAAUUCCUGGAGUUAUUGGGUGCGUUGAUGGUACCCACAUCGUCUUACAAAAACCCACAGUGAACGAGCACAUGUACUUCAAUAGAAAAGGCUACCAUAGUAUCAACCCUAUGAUAGGGAUUCUGGCUACCCAUUGGAACCAUGGUGCAUAACUCCUUACAGAAACGCUUCGAAUGAUGCAAGCGAAGCUAUAUUUAAUGAAAUUCAUUCCAAGGUAUCGUCGUUCCAAGGUAUCGUCGAACGAACUAUCGGAAUUUUUAAAGGACGCUGGAGAAUUUUAGGAUAUGGCAAGAGAAGAAGGUAGCAUCCGACAAAAGUGGCAAGAUUUGCUAACGUUUGUGCAGCAUUACACAACAUCUGCAUAAAAUUGAAAAGAAAUUAUGAUCCUCAGAAUUGCGAAUCUGACCAAACAACGGAUAUCGACACCGGGGUAGCGAACCGCCUCACCACAAUCGGCCAACAAUAAGAGAUCAAAUACAGCACUCUUUAAUACAUUGAAGAUGAAAAUGUCUAUU
Molecule: long non-coding RNA, 2294 nt
Organism: Bactrocera latifrons
Lineage: Eukaryota; Metazoa; Arthropoda; Insecta; Diptera; Tephritidae
Exons: 5
Source: RefSeq, a predicted model, not a curated record